AUGAACGCUGGCGGCGUGCCUAAUACAUGCAAGUCGAGCGAACAGACGAGGAGCUUGCUCCUCUGACGUUAGCGGCGGACGGGUGAGUAACACGUGGAUAACCUACCUAUAAGACUGGGAUAACUUCGGGAAACCGGAGCUAAUACCGGAUAAUAUAUUGAACCGCAUGGUUCAAUAGUGAAAGACGGUUUUGCUGUCACUUAUAGAUGGAUCCGCGCCGCAUUAGCUAGUUGGUAAGGUAACGGCUUACCAAGGCAACGAUGCGUAGCCGACCUGAGAGGGUGAUCGGCCACACUGGAACUGAGACACGGUCCAGACUCCUAGGGAGGCAGCAGUAGGGAAUCUUCCGCAAUGGGCGAAAGCCUGACGGAGCAACGCCGCGUGAGUGAUGAAGGUCUUCGGAUCGUAAAACUCUGUUAUUAGGGAAGAACAAAUGUGUAAGUAACUAUGCACGUCUUGACGGUACCUAAUCAGAAAGCCACGGCUAACUACGUG
RNAcentral lists this ribosomal RNA (495 nucleotides) under uncultured bacterium. RNAcentral's name for it is "partial 16S ribosomal RNA". It matches the Rfam family "Bacterial small subunit ribosomal RNA", at positions 29 to 507 of the family's 1533-position model. The record is from RNAcentral.